UUUAGGGCUCUUUAGGUAUCAACUAUGGGUUAGUGAACAAUAGAACACUUAACGUAAUCAAUUCAUCACUCAUCAGCGACACCCCAAUCUUCACCCUCUUUGUCGUCUCCUCUGCCACAAACCCCCCACCGUCUCUGCCAUCUCCUCCGCCACAAACCCCCACCCUCCGUCGUCUGAACGACUGAACAUCAUCACUUCAUCAGUGACGACAUCUCCGAUUAAUCAUCCUUUUCCAGUGAAGUUAGUGGCACACUGUCGUGGUACUUCACGGACAUGGUGCGUAUGGUGAAUUACUUGACAAACGUUUGCAGCUCAUUUGCAUACAGGGGAGCUAGUGGCUGUAAAGGUGCAAAGGCCCGUGGCUCAGGUGACGAACAACUGCAUGACUACCUUUGUUGAUUGGCACUUGGCAAUAUUGAAUGAUUUCAAUUUGCAUGUGCUGCCUAAUCUGUAGGUUAGAUGUUGCAAGAUUCAAUCAUGUUUUUUGGCUAGUGAGGGACUCUUGGCCUCUUUGCAAGUUCAUAUCAACUUUGAAAGAUGUAUGUUUAGUAAUAGAUUUAGAGGAUAUCAGCUUGUGUUACCAUUUUAACAAAUUUUCAUAUAAUAUUUUCUGUUGUUGAGUGAUUG
This 627-nucleotide long non-coding RNA is filed under the name Helianthus annuus (common sunflower). The record is from RNAcentral. Lineage: Eukaryota; Viridiplantae; Streptophyta; Magnoliopsida; Asterales; Asteraceae.